AUUGAACGCUGGCGGCAGGCCUAACACAUGCAAGUCGAGCGGAUGAAGGGAGCUUGCUCCUGGAUUCAGCGGCGGACGGGUGAGUAAUGCCUAGGAAUCUGCCUGGUAGUGGGGGAUAACGUCCGGAAACGGGCGCUAAUACCGCAUACGUCCUGAGGGAGAAAGUGGGGGAUCUUCGGACCUCACGCUAUCAGAUGAGCCUAGGUCGGAUUAGCUAGUUGGUGGGGUAAAGGCCUACCAAGGCGACGAUCCGUAACUGGUCUGAGAGGAUGAUCAGUCACACUGGAACUGAGACACGGUCCAGACUCCUACGGGAGGCAGCAGUGGGGAAUAUUGGACAAUGGGCGAAAGCCUGAUCCAGCCAUGCCGCGUGUGUGAAGAAGGUCUUCGGAUUGUAAGGCACUUUAAGUUGGGAGGAAGGGCAGUAAGUUAAGACCUUGCUGUUUUGACGUUACCAACAGAAUAAGCACCGGCUAACUUCGU
RNAcentral lists this ribosomal RNA (483 nucleotides) under uncultured bacterium. RNAcentral's name for it is "partial 16S ribosomal RNA". It matches the Rfam family "Bacterial small subunit ribosomal RNA", at positions 30 to 506 of the family's 1533-position model. The record is from RNAcentral.